AGUGAACGCUGGCGGCAGGCCUAACACAUGCAAGUCGAGCGGCAGCGCGUCCGACCACCCUCGGGUGGUCGGAUGGCGGCGAGCGGCGGACGGGUGAGGAAUGCAUCGGAAUCUGCCUCGUUGUGGGGGAUAACGUAGGGAAACUUACGCUAAUACCGCAUACGACCUACGGGUGAAAGUGGGGGACCUUCGGGCCUCACGCGAUGAGAUGAGCCGAUGCCGGAUUAGCUAGUUGGCGGGGUAAAGGCCCACCAAGGCGACGAUCCGUAGCUGGUCUGAGAGGAUGAUCAGCCACACUGGAACUGAGACACGGUCCAGACUCCUACGGGAGGCAGCAGUGGGGAAUAUUGGACAAUGGGGGCAACCCUGAUCCAGCCAUGCCGC
Molecule: ribosomal RNA, 384 nt
Filed under: uncultured bacterium
Lineage: Bacteria
Description: bacterial SSU rRNA
Rfam family: Bacterial small subunit ribosomal RNA
Source: RNAcentral